UGCUCUUAAUAUCCAUGGUACUUUGAUGCCUGGUUUGGUCUUUAUUAUUAAUUUAAAGCUUCUUGCUUCUUGCACCUUCGCUCUAAAAACAUUAAUUAUCCCCUGUUUUUAUUGUACUCCUACCCCGUUUUCCCUGCAAAAGAAAUGACAUAGGCAAUCAAUCAUGUCUACAAUUAGGCGUUUGGAUAAGGCACCAGUCAUGUUUAGAAGUGGAUUAAGCCUAGCUAGACGUUUGAAUAAGCAUUGAUGACACACAUUAAUAUCUCACCAAAUAACCGAGUCAACAUUGACAUACACUUUUGUUAUAAAUACAGAUCAUGGAUAUACUCCCACACCCAUCAGUUUCAUUUAGAAAAAACAAACACACAUUACCUCUUCAAUAUGGCAUCAUACAUGAAGAACGCUGCUAAAGGAUCACUGACCAAGGCUUUCACAUGCCUGUGGCUGGUGAUGCUGGUUUUCCUGUCAUCUGAAAAAAUGGGGUCGCAUGGCUGUGAAAAGCAAAAUAGCACGACGUGGGACGGAAGGCCAUGCAUCCGGAGAGGCACGUGCAACAGGCCCUGCAGGGCCGAGGGCUUCGACAACGGCCAUUGUGAUAACCUCUUUACAUGCAUCUGCUACAGAAACUGCACCGACCUAUCAUUUAGCCAUAUGUAUAUGCCACUCCAUGCAUGAUCGACCGGUAAAAUAAGUUAAGAAGUUCUCUUCAUGGCAUAAUAAAGGAACGGAGCUUGUCAGCUUGAUAGGGCAGUACCAAUGUGGUGCAAUCUUUUGCACGAUUUUUAUUAUGAUUAACACUGCUCAUCUCAGCUUCUCAA
Molecule: long non-coding RNA, 818 nt
Organism: Aegilops tauschii subsp. strangulata
Lineage: Eukaryota; Viridiplantae; Streptophyta; Magnoliopsida; Poales; Poaceae
Source: RefSeq, a predicted model, not a curated record